AUUGAACGCUGGCGGCAUGCUUUACACAUGCCAGUCGAACGGCAGCGCGGGCUUCGGCCUGGCGGCGAGUGGCGAACGGGUGAGUAAUGCAUCGGAACGUGCCCAGUAGUGGGGGAUAGCCCGGCGAAAGCCGGAUUAAUACCGCAUACGACCUGAGGGUGAAAGCGGGGGACCGAAAGGCCUCGCGCUAUUGGAGCGGCCGAUGUCGGAUUAGCUAGUUGGUGGGGUAAAGGCUUACCAAGGCGACGAUCCGUAGCUGGUCUGAGAGGACGACCAGCCACACUGGGACUGAGACACGGCCCAGACUCCUACGGGAGGCAGCAGUGGGGAAUUUUGGACAAUGGGGGCAAGCCUGAUCCAGCCAUGCCGCGUGCGGGAAGAAGGCCUUCGGGUUGUAAACCGCUUUUGUUCGGGAAGAAAUCCUCUGGGCUAAUACCCCGGGGGGAUGACGGUACCGGAAGAAUAAGCACCGGCUAACUACGUG
Molecule: ribosomal RNA, 484 nt
Filed under: uncultured bacterium
Lineage: Bacteria
Description: partial 16S ribosomal RNA
Rfam family: Bacterial small subunit ribosomal RNA
Source: RNAcentral